CCGGGAUUGCCCUAGUAACGGCGAGUGAAGCGGCAAGAGCUCAAAUUUGAAAGCUGGCUCCUUCGGGGUCCGCAUUGUAAUUUGCAGAGGAUGCUUCGGGAGCGGUCCCCAUCUAAGUGCCCUGGAACGGGCCGUCAUAGAGGGUGAGAAUCCCGUCUGGGAUGGGGUGCCCGCGCCCGUGUGAAGCUCCUUCGACGAGUCGAGUUGUUUGGGAAUGCAGCUCUAAUUGGGUGGUAAAUUUCAUCUAAAGCUAAAUAUUGGCCGGAGACCGAUAGCGCACAAGUAGAGUGAUCGAAAGAUGAAAAGCACUUUGAAAAGAGAGUUAAACAGCACGUGAAAUUGUUGAAAGGGAAGCGCUUGCGAUCAGACUCGCCCGCGGGGUUCAGCCGGCAUUCGUGCCGGUGUACUUCCCCGUGGGCGGGCCAGCGUCGGUUUGGGCGGCCGGUCAAAGGCCCCUGGAAUGUAACGCCUCUCGGGGCGUCUUAUAGCCAGGGGUGCCAUGCGGCCUGCCCGGACCGAGGAACGCGCUUCGGCUCGGACGCUGGCAUAAUGGUCGUAAGCGACCCGUCUUGAAACACGGACCAAGGAGUCUAACAUCUACGCGAGUGUUCGGGUGUCAAACCCGUGCGCGCAGUGAAAGCGAACGGAGGUGGGAACCCCCCGGGGUGCACCAUCGACCGAUCCUGAUGUCUUCGGAUGGAUUUGAGUAAGAGCGUAGCUGUUGGGACCCGAAAGAUGGUGAACUAUGCCUGAAUAGGGCGAAGCCAGAGGAAACUCUGGUGGAGGCUCGCAGCGGUUCUGACGUGCAAAUCGAUCGUCAAAUUUGGGUAUAGGGGCGAAAGACUAAUCGAACCAUCUAGUAGCUGGUUCCUGCCGA
RNAcentral lists this ribosomal RNA (877 nucleotides) under Penicillium sumatraense. RNAcentral describes it as "LSU rRNA". It matches the Rfam family "Eukaryotic large subunit ribosomal RNA", at positions 69 to 964 of the family's 3401-position model. Lineage: Eukaryota; Fungi; Ascomycota; Eurotiomycetes; Eurotiales; Aspergillaceae. The record is from RNAcentral.